RNAcentral lists this ribosomal RNA (385 nucleotides) under Acanthodactylus arabicus (Arabian fringe-fingered lizard). RNAcentral's name for it is "partial 12S ribosomal RNA". It matches the Rfam family "Bacterial small subunit ribosomal RNA", at positions 794 to 1384 of the family's 1533-position model. The record is from RNAcentral. Lineage: Eukaryota; Metazoa; Chordata; Lepidosauria; Squamata; Lacertidae.
GCUAAGCCAUAAACAUUGAUAGCCCCAUACCAAGCUAUCCGCCAGAGAACUACUAGUGAAAAACUUAAAACUCAAAGGACUUGGCGGUGUCCCAUUUCGGCCUAGAGGAGCCUGUCCUGUAAUCGAUACUCCCCGUUCCACCCAACCUAUACUUGCACAUUCAGCCUAUAUACCGCCGUCGACAGUCUACCCCAUGAGGGCAUAUUAGUAGACACAAUAGCCACCUCGCUAAAACGUCAGGUCAAGGUGUAGCAAAUGCAUAGGCAGAGAUUGGCUACAUUUUUUACCCCAAAACAUACGAAAUGCAACAUGAAACAUUGCACGAAGGUGAAUUUAGUAGUAAAACAAACGAGAGAGUUUGUUUUAACCCCGCUCUGGGACGCGC